CAUGCAAGUCGAACGGCAGCACGGGAGCAAUCCUGGUGGCGAGUGGCGAACGGGUGAGUAAUACAUCGGAACGUGCCCAAUCGUGGGGGAUAACGCAGCGAAAGCUGUGCUAAUACCGCAUAAGAUCUAAGGAUGAAAGCAGGGGACCGCAAGGCCUUGCGCGAAUGGAGCGGCCGAUGGCAGAUUAGGUAGUUGGUGAGGUAAAGGCUCACCAAGCCUUCGAUCUGUAGCUGGUCUGAGAGGACGACCAGCCACACUGGGACUGAGACACGGCCCAGACUCCUACGGGAGGCAGCAGUGGGGAAUAUUGGACAAUGGGCGCAAGCCUGAUCCAGCCAUGCCGCGUGAGUGAUGAAGGCCCUAGGGUUGUAAAGCUCUUUUGUGCGGGAAGAUAAUGACUGUACCGCAAGAAUAAGCCCCGGCUAACUUCGUGCCAGCAGCCGCGGUAAUACGAAGGGGGCUAGCGUUGCUCGGAAUCACUGGGCGUAAAGCGCACGUAGGCGGACUCUUAAGUCGGUGGUGAAAUCCUGGAGCUCAACUCCAGAACUGCCUUCGAUACUGGGAGUCUCGAGUUCGGGAGAGGUGAGUGGAACUGCGAGUGUAGAGGUGAAAUUCGUAGAUAUUCGCAAGAACACCAGUGGCGAAAGCGGCUCACUGGCCCGAUACUGACGCUGA
This 675-nucleotide ribosomal RNA is filed under the name uncultured bacterium. RNAcentral describes it as "bacterial SSU rRNA". It matches the Rfam family "Bacterial small subunit ribosomal RNA", at positions 54 to 749 of the family's 1533-position model. The record is from RNAcentral.